RNAcentral lists this ribosomal RNA (460 nucleotides) under uncultured bacterium. Its description in RNAcentral is "partial 16S ribosomal RNA". It matches the Rfam family "Bacterial small subunit ribosomal RNA", at positions 338 to 795 of the family's 1533-position model. The record is from RNAcentral.
CCUACGGGAGGCAGCAGUGAGGAAUAUUGGUCAAUGGGCGCUAGCCUGAACCAGCCAAGUAGCGUGAAGGAUGACUGCCCUAUGGGUUGUAAACUUCUUUUAUCUGGGAAUAAAGUGCAGUAUGUAUACUGCUUUGCAUGUACCUUAUGAAUCAGGAUCGGCUAACUCCGUGCCAGCAGCCGCGGUAAUACGGAGGAUCCGAGCGUUCUCCGGAUUUAUUGGGUUUAAAGGGAGCGGAGGCGGGUUGUUAAGUCAGUUGUGAACGUUUGCGGCUCAACCGUAAGAUUGCAGUUGAUACUGGCAUUCUUGAGUACAAGAGAGGUAGGCGGAAUUCGUGGUGUAGCGGUGAAAUGCAUAGAUAUCACGAAGAACUCCGAUUGCGAAGGCAGCCUGCUGGACUGUAACUGACGCUGAUGCUCGAAAGUGUGGGGAUCAAACAGGAUUAGAUACCCCAGUAGUC